GGCUGGUCCUUGUGCAGUAGUGUUUACAACUAUUUGAUCACAACCAAUUACAGUUCUUCCCCACUCCCAUUGCUUCACUUUACUGUCCUUAA
This 92-nucleotide non-coding RNA is filed under the name Cercocebus atys (sooty mangabey). The record is from RNAcentral. Lineage: Eukaryota; Metazoa; Chordata; Mammalia; Primates; Cercopithecidae.